Molecule: ribosomal RNA, 253 nt
Filed under: uncultured bacterium
Lineage: Bacteria
Description: partial 16S ribosomal RNA
Rfam family: Bacterial small subunit ribosomal RNA
Source: RNAcentral
UACGGAGGGAGCUAGCGUUGUUCGGAAUUACUGGGCGUAAAGGGCGCGUAGGUGGCCUGUUAAGUCGAACGUGAAAUCCCCGGGCUCAACCCGGGAACUGCGUCCGAGACUGGCAGGCUCGAAUCCGGGAGAGGGAUGUGGAAUUCCAGGUGUAGCGGUGAAAUGCGUAGAUAUCAGGAGGAAUACCGGUGGCGAAAGCGACUCUCUGGACGGUUACUGACGCUGAGGCACGAAAGCGUGGGGAGCAAACAGG